Pelobates cultripes (western spadefoot toad) is the source of this 492-nucleotide non-coding RNA. The record is from the annotation of a GenBank genome assembly. NCBI's taxonomy places the organism in Eukaryota, Metazoa, Chordata, Amphibia, Anura, Pelobatidae.
CUUUGUCACAAUAUUAAUAUAUAUAUAUAUAUAUAUAUAAAUAUAAAUUUUAAUUUUAAUUGGGGUAGCUCCCAAAAUAUUGGGGCAUAUAAAAAAGGCAACUCUGUUCCGCAUAGUAGCUGUUGACAUUAUAGUUGCGCAGGAACUUUGUUGACUCUAGAGAACCUCGGGCAAAUUGCACAUCCCCGUGGCGUCGACUUUGCAUGCAGAUGUCAUCCAUAUCAACUUCCGAUGCCAUUUUCUGCGCCUACCAUGGUGACCAUGGGUAACGGGGAAUCAGGGUUCCAUUCCAUACAGGGACCCUGAGAAAAGGCUACCACAUGCAAGGAAGGCAGCAGGCGCGCAAAUGACCUACUCCCGACGCGGGAGGGUAGUGACAACAAAUUACAACACAGGACUCUUUAGAGGCCCUGUAAUUGUAAUGAGUCCACUUGAAAUCCUUUAACUCUGAUCAGUUGGAGGGAAGUCUGCUGCUGGUCGCACAGUCUCAUG